This 445-nucleotide ribosomal RNA is filed under the name uncultured bacterium. RNAcentral describes it as "partial 16S ribosomal RNA". It matches the Rfam family "Bacterial small subunit ribosomal RNA", at positions 354 to 796 of the family's 1533-position model. The record is from RNAcentral.
GUGAGGAAUAUUGGUCAAUGGACGAGAGUCUGAACCAGCCAAGUCGCGUGAAGGAAGACGGUUCUAUGAAUUGUAAACUUCUUUUGUGCAGGAAUAAAGUGGGUUACGUGUAACCUUUUGUAUGUACUGUACGAAUAAGGAUCGGCUAACUCCGUGCCAGCAGCCGCGGUAAUACGGAGGAUCCAAGCGUUAUCCGGAUUUAUUGGGUUUAAAGGGUGCGUAGGUGGAUUGAUAAGUCAGCGGUGAAAGUUUGCAGCUUAACUGUAAAAUUGCCGUUGAAACUGUCGGUCUUGAGUGCAAAUGAGGUAGGCGGAAUGUGUUGUGUAGCGGUGAAAUGCUUAGAUAUAACACAGAACUCCGAUUGCGAAGGCAGCUUACUGGGAUGCAACUGACACUGAUGCACGAAAGCGUGGGUAUCAAACAGGAUUAGAAACCCCAGUAGUCC